AUACGGAGGGUGCAAGCGUUAUCCGGAAUUAUUGGGUUUAAAGGGUCCGUAGGCGGCUAGAUAAGUCAGUGGUGAAAUUCUCUCGCUCAACGAGAGACCUGCCAUUGAUACUGUCUUGGCUAGAGUUACAGUGAGGUGAGUGGAAUGUGUGGUGUAGCGGUGAAAUGCAUAGAUAUCACACAGAACACCGAUUGCGAAGGCAGCUCACUAACUGUAUACUGACGCUGAUGGACGAAAGCGUGGGGAGCAAACAGGAUUAGAUACCCUAGUAGUCC
Molecule: ribosomal RNA, 275 nt
Filed under: uncultured bacterium
Lineage: Bacteria
Description: partial 16S ribosomal RNA
Rfam family: Bacterial small subunit ribosomal RNA
Source: RNAcentral